AGAGCUUCAUUUGAUGUACUCUA
Molecule: non-coding RNA, 23 nt
Filed under: Arabidopsis thaliana (thale cress)
Lineage: Eukaryota; Viridiplantae; Streptophyta; Magnoliopsida; Brassicales; Brassicaceae
Source: RNAcentral